GUAUUUUACGCAUCAACUAACCACAUCAUAUGUUAUAGCAAUCUGUCCGUCGAUGACACAGUCGUUGAUGUGGCACGCAACCAUUGGUUGAUGCAUGCAAGGUCUGAGCAGGGGAACGCAACCUUUAAGUAUGGGGUCAUGUGAGUAGGAAGGGAGAGCAACAUGGCUGUGGUAUGAGAAACAAUGAAUUAAAUGUUUGUUUGAAAACUUGUAAAGUAAAAUAGUUUGAAAAUAGUUUGCUUUAAAAAAACAGUUCUUUGUAUUAUCUACCUGGUAAAAAGGGAAUUAGUGUACUAAUCUCACAUAAGGACUUCAUAUCAUCACCAAGGAAUGUCUAACACACAGCAGCAAGCAAUCGAUACACACUCAGCCGAGAGCAGGGAGGAAUUGUGGCAGUGUGGCCAUCACACAUUACAGGGUGGCCAAGGCCAAUAAGAAGAGGAGGGAGCUAGGGGAGUGAAGCAACGGCCGGUGGUGGUUAGUCCGCUCCCGGAGUCUGAGGUACGGGAGGUUCCUCCGCCCCCUCUGGACAUCGAGGGGGCCCCGGUGUACUCCGUUCGGUCCAUCCUGGAUUCAAGGCGUCUGCGAGGGGCCUUCAAUAUCUCGUGGAGUGGGAGGGGUACGGUCCGGAGGAGAGGUGCUGGGUUCCGGUGGAGGACGUGUUGGACCCUUCAAUGCUGCGGGAGUUCCACCGUCUCCGGCCGGAUCGCCCUGCGCCUCGCCAUUCGGUUCGUCCCCGAGGCCAGUAUCGGUGCACUGCUGGAGCCACGCGUCGGGGGGGG
Oncorhynchus mykiss (rainbow trout) is the source of this 782-nucleotide non-coding RNA. The record is from RefSeq and is a predicted model, not a curated record. NCBI's taxonomy places the organism in Eukaryota, Metazoa, Chordata, Actinopteri, Salmoniformes, Salmonidae.